UAAGGAAUAUUGGACAAUGGAGGCAACUCUGAUCCAGCCAUGCCGCGUGAAGGAAUAAGGCCCUAUGGGUUGUAAACUUCUUUUAGACGGGACAAAACCCCUUUACGUGUAAAGGGUUGAUGGUACUGUCAGAAUAAGCAUCGGCUAACUUCGUGCCAGCAGCCGCGGUAAUACGAAGGAUGCAAGCGUUAUCCGGAAUUAUUGGGUUUAAAGGGUGCGUAGGCGGACUAAUAAGUCAGUGGUGAAAGCCUGCAGCUUAACUGCAGAAUUGCCAUUGAUACUGUUAGUCUUGAGUACAGUUGAGGUAGGCGGAAUGUGUCAUGUAGCGGUGAAAUGCUUAGAUAUGACACAGAACACCGAUUGCGAAGGCAGCUUGCUAGGCUGUAACUGACGCUGAGGCACGAAAGCGUGGGGAGCAAACA
This 422-nucleotide ribosomal RNA is filed under the name uncultured bacterium. Its description in RNAcentral is "bacterial SSU rRNA". It matches the Rfam family "Bacterial small subunit ribosomal RNA", at positions 355 to 774 of the family's 1533-position model. The record is from RNAcentral.